RNAcentral lists this microRNA precursor (78 nucleotides) under Trichobilharzia regenti. Its description in RNAcentral is "mir-3492 microRNA precursor family". It matches the Rfam family "mir-3492 microRNA precursor family". The record is from Rfam by way of RNAcentral. Lineage: Eukaryota; Metazoa; Platyhelminthes; Trematoda; Strigeidida; Schistosomatidae.
AGCCCUCUCUAUCCGUGGUGAGAUUUCGUCGGAGAUCAACCCGUUAGGGCUGAUGCAAAUUCACAAGUAGGUGAAGCG